Long non-coding RNA from Canis lupus familiaris (dog), 1203 nucleotides. RefSeq lists it as uncharacterized. The record is from RefSeq and is a predicted model, not a curated record. NCBI's taxonomy places the organism in Eukaryota, Metazoa, Chordata, Mammalia, Carnivora, Canidae. The transcript is spliced from 4 exons.
GGGGCCGGGAGGGGCGUGACCCUCUCGCCGAACCGCGCGGCCGAGCAAGCAGAAACCAUUGGCGGUCUCCUCAGAGAGCACUCGGGCAUUGGUGACAAGUUGCCCUCGUCUCACCUCUUCGCAAGGCCAGCGAGAAAGGCCCGCCGGGGCUCCAAACCCGGCGGUCCCCACGACCCUCAGAGCGCAGGAGCCACCAAACACAGCGACUCCACAUCUCCUGCUUUCGGGCCGGCGGGAGGAGGCGAAAGGCUGGCUGAAUCACGCUCAGGAUUUCGGGCAACGUAGUUCUGGCACCGCGAGGAUGCUGGGAAGUGUAGUUUUCCGCCUGCCGCACAGGGGACCGCCGGCGCGGACUCCAACCGCCGUCCUGCAGAUGGGCCUCUGCACAGACGGACCCACAAUCCAGGAGCAUGGUUCACAGCGGCUCCGCUCCUCCCACCGCCCCUUCCCGACCGCCGCACGACGUUACCGCCCUAAGAAAGCGGGACCGCGUCUGAGAACCUUCUAGCAACCGUUUCCUAGCAACGAGGAACAGCUCAACAGCGAGAGUUCCCUGAGAAAGCCGGCGGCCAUCAGGCGCGCCUGGCCGAGAGACGGAGUCACAUCCUACCGCGGGGAAACCUGGGACCUAAAUCCUCGUCCGCGGAGCAUUCCGGGAGAUCGCGCAGAAACCUGGGAAAUGUAGUCCAGAGAGGGCCUCAUUCAUGCUGGUUCACGACCUACUGCUUCGCCCUCUGGUGUACAGGAGGACGAACGUCAGUCCUUGUCUCGGCGGAAACCGUUUGUUGCCACAGUGGACCUGAUUUUCACCACUUAUCCCUGGAUGAUCACUGUUCUGGAGGAGUUCACAGACUACUUGGAAGAUAGAGACCAUUGUAGAUCACAUGGGAAAGGGGCAGGGAAAUGGUGAGAAAUGAAGCAGGAGCAAGACCCUGAAGGACCCUGUAUGCUACGUAGAGAAGUUUUGACUUUCUCCUAGGGCACUGGAAGGAUACUGAAGAUGCUCAGAGUAGUUGCAGUGAACACUUGUGGAUUGGUGAAAGGCUGCCUUCAAAGUGAGCUUUCCGGAACAUAAGUAUUUCUCAUAUAAAACCUUCUGGGGGAUCCCUGGGUGGCACAGCGGUUUGGUGCCUGCCUUUGGCCCAGGGUGCUAUCCUGGAGACCCGGGAUCGAAUCCCAUGUCGGGCUCCUGGUGCAUGGAGC